RNAcentral lists this unclassified non-coding RNA (378 nucleotides) under plant metagenome. RNAcentral describes it as "partial contains 5.8S ribosomal RNA, internal transcribed spacer 2, and large subunit ribosomal RNA". The stretch from base 1 to 105 matches the Rfam family "5.8S ribosomal RNA", at positions 50 to 154 of the family's 154-position model. The record is from RNAcentral.
GAAAUGCGAUAAGUAAUGUGAAUUGCAGAAUUCAGUGAAUCAUCGAAUCUUUGAACGCACCUUGCGCUCCUUGGUAUUCCUUGGAGCAUGCCUGUUUGAGUAUCAUGAAAUCUUCAAAGUAAAUCUUUUGUUAACUCAAUUGGUUUCUACUUUGGUAUUGGAGGUCUUUGCAGCUUCACACCUGCUCCUCUUUGUUCAUUAGCUGGAUCUCAGUGUUAUGCUUGGUUCCACUCGGCGUGAUAAGUUAUCUAUCGCUGAGGCCACUGUAAAAGGUGGCCAAGGUAAAUGCAGAUGAACCGCUUCUAAUAGUCCAUUGACUUGGACAAUACUUUUAUGAUCUGAUCUCAAAUCAGGUAGGACUACCCGCUGAACUUAAGC